This 463-nucleotide ribosomal RNA is filed under the name uncultured bacterium. RNAcentral's name for it is "partial 16S ribosomal RNA". It matches the Rfam family "Bacterial small subunit ribosomal RNA", at positions 28 to 507 of the family's 1533-position model. The record is from RNAcentral.
GACGAACGCUGGCGGCAUGCCUAACACAUGCAAGUCGAACGGAAAGUUCGGGCUUUGGGGCGCAGGGCUGCGUGCCGCGGGGUAACCUGCACUUGGGUACCGUAUCCCUCCCCGAGGGAGAUCCUAAUACCACUUGAGCUAAUAGGACCUAGGAUUUCCCGCUGUAUGGUGGGGGUUGGAAGGUUUGGUUGGUUGGGGAUGGAAACGCGUUCGAUUAGCUUGUUGGUAGGGUAGUAGCCUACCAAGGCGAUGAUCCAUAGCUGGUCGGAGAGGAUGAUCAGCCACACUGGGACUGAGACACGGCCCAGACUCCUACGGGAGGCAGCAGUGGGGAAUAUUGGACAAGGGGCGAAAGCCUGAUCCAGCAAUGCCGCGUGAGUGAUGAAGGCCUUAGGGUUGUAAAGCUCUUUUACCCGGGAUGAUAAUGACAGUACCGGGAGAAUAAGCUCCGGCUAACUCCGUG